Molecule: long non-coding RNA, 733 nt
Organism: Lolium rigidum
Lineage: Eukaryota; Viridiplantae; Streptophyta; Magnoliopsida; Poales; Poaceae
Exons: 2
Source: RefSeq, a predicted model, not a curated record
GUCGCCGCCGCGAGUCGCCGCCCAUCGGCCCGCCUGCCUUCAGAUCUGAACGGCGUGAAAGUGUGGAGCCUGGAUGUUCUGAUUGGCAUUCAGAAUUUACUGAUGCAGGCGCCAGCAAGAGUCCUCAAGGCAGCAAGUCCACUGACAGGUACAAUGACCACAAAAGGAGCAGGAAGCAAUCGUAUGACGAUCCCUAUCUUGAAGGGAGCUAUUCCACUGCACACAAAUCACCAAGAAAAGGGCGCAGCACUAAAAGAAGCUCCAGGCGUUCCACAAGAGAAGUCGCAGUAGUCGUGAUUCGUGAUUGAGGCAGCUGAAUAUCUGGGCAUCUGGCCGAUCGAAUGCCGUAUAGAUGGCACUACCUCAUGUAGUAGUCAUUUGCCAGCCUUGUUUUCUACUGCUUUUUCCCCCUUUCCUCUUUGCUGAUGAGAGGUUCUUUACUGGAGAGAGCUCUCUUGCGAUGCAGAAGGCUUAUAAUUUUUUUUUUCUAGUCUAGAGUUAUUGAUACUAUAUGGGAACGAUGCCACGGUGAUGUCAAUGAGGGGUGUUAGCCGGACUCCACCUAUGUCUAGAAGGAUAGCCUUUAGCGAUGGAGCAUAAACCUCUCCUGUCUCAACUAUUUUAUAUUUGCGAAUCUGGGAUUGUUUCUCCUCUUACUGACGUAGCUGGUGAUCAUGGACCUGUUGCUGAAACCAGGAUCUAGGAUGGUUGUUAAGCAUAUCAAUUAGCAGAU